RNAcentral lists this ribosomal RNA (2955 nucleotides) under metagenome. Its description in RNAcentral is "bacterial LSU rRNA". It matches the Rfam family "Bacterial large subunit ribosomal RNA". The record is from RNAcentral.
UCAAGAUAUUAAGAGCUUAUGGUGAAUGGCUUGGUUGGUACAGACGAUGAAGGACGUGGCAAGCUGCGAUAAGCUGCGGUUAGGCGCAAGUAGCCUUUGACCCGCAGAUUUCCGAAUGAGACAACUCACUUGAGGUAAUACUCAAGAAUCUACGUUUACGUAGAAGAUAACCUGGGGAAGUGAAACAUCUCAGUACCCGGAGGAAAAGAAACCGAAAGGUAUUCCCAUAGUAGCGGCGAGCGAACAGGGAAGAGCCCAAACCUAAUAAGCGUUAAAGCCUGCUGGCGUUGCUUAUUUGGUGUCGCGGGGUGUUAGUGGAGAGUGUAGCAGAACUCUCGAGAAGUUACAAAUCUUAAUUAUAGUCGAAUCUGUUGGGAAAUAGAACCAUAGAAGGUGAAAGUCCUGUAGGCGAAAUAAUUAAGACUUCCUGAUUAACAUUCCCAAGUACUACGAGGCACGUGAAACCUUGUGGGAAUUCGCCCCGACCAUGGGGUAAGGCUAAAUACUCGUAUCAGACCGAUAGUGUACUAGUACCGUGAGGGAAAGCUGAAAAGAACCCCGGUGAGGGGAGUGAAAUAGAAUCUGAAACCAUAAGCUCACAAAGCGGUCAGAGCGUGACUUCGGUUGCGUAAUGGCGUACCUUUUGUAUAAUGGUCCAGGGAGUUAUUUUUUAUCGCAAGUUUAACUUUGGCACGAAAGUGUCGAAGGCAGGCGUAGAGAAAUCGAGUCCUAAUAGGGCGUUUUAGCGGUAAGUAAUAGACUCGAAGCCAGUCGAUCUACCCAUGGCCAGCGUGAAGUUUCGCGAAAGCGAAAUGAAGGCGCGAACCGGUGUCUGUUGAAAAAGGCUCGGAUGAGCUGUGGGUUGGAGUGAAAGGCUAAUCAAGGCUGGUGAUAGCUAGUUCUCCCCGAAAUGACUUUAGGGUCAGCCUCUAGUGGUGGGCUUAGGACGGUAGAGCACAGGAUGGGCUAGGGUGAAUUAUAUUCAUAUCAACCCCAACCUAACUCCGAAUUUCUUAAGUUUCUAGCUAGGGAGUGAGACUAUGGGGGCUAAGCUUCAUAGUCGAGAGGGAAACAGCCCAGACCGCCAGUUAAGGUCCCUAAAAGUAAGCUAAGUGUUAAAGGAUGUGAGGUCACAGAAACAGCCGGGAUGUUGGCUUAGAAGCAGCCAUCAUUUAAAGAGUUCGUAACAGAUCACCGGUCGAGUGAUUUUGCGCCGAAGAUAAUCGGGGCUCAAGCUUACUACCGAAACUGCGGGUUUUCCAACGUGAUGUUGGAGGGCAGUAGGGGAGCAUUCUGUAGGCGGUGAAGGUGUCGGUGUAAACCAUGCUGGAGCGUACAGAAGAGAGUAUCCUGGAAUAAGUAACGAAAAUUUCGAUGAAAACUUGAAACGCCGCAAGCCCAAGGUUUCUCCGUCAAUGUCUGUCAGACGGAGGUUAGGCGGUCCCUAAGGCGAACCCUGAGUUAAUCGGGGGUAGUCGAUGGAGAAAGGUGUUAAUAUUCACCUCCCACCUUUAGGCGUUAACUUAAGAGAUGACGCAUGGAAUGAGGUAGUCGAACGGUUGGAUGUGUUCGUCGAGUCGACGUAAGUUGUUCGGGAGCUCAAGCUACGGCGCGAGCGAACCUACCAGGAUGAAGUGCCGAGAAAUAAUCUCUUUUGUUGUCUAUUGGUGACCGUACCGAAAUCCGACACAGGUAGGCUGCCUGAAUAUGGUAAGGCGCUCGAGAGAAACCUCGCUAAGGAACUCGGCAAUAUAGCCCCGUACGUUUGCAAGAAGGGGUCCCUAACUUUUAGUUAGGGCACAGUAAAGUGGCUCCUGUGACUGUUUAGCAAAAACAUAGGUCUCUGCUAACUCGUAAGAGGAUGUAUAGGGACUGAAACCUGCCCGGUGCCAGAAGGUUAAGGCAAGAGGUCAUUUGAGGUUCGCCUCAGAGAAGCUUCGACCCGAAGCCCUGGUGAACGGCGGCCGUAACUAUAACGGUCCUAAGGUAGCGAAAUUCCUUGUCGGGUAAGUUCCGACCCGCACGAAUGGUUUAACAAUGGGAGCACUGUCUCAGCGUGGAUCUCGGUGAAAUUGUAGUGACGGUGAAGAUGCCGUCUACCCGCAGUAGGACGAAAAGACCCCGGAACCUUUACUGUAGGCUGGUAUUGAAUUUUGGCCCUGUAUGUGUAGGAUAGGUGGGAGACUUUGAAGCGGAAGCGUUAGCUUUUGUGGAGUCAUUGGUGAAAUACCACCCUUAUUGUGCUAAGGUUCUAACCUCUUAAAUGAGGGACAGUGCCAGUUGGGCAGUUUAACUGGGGCGGUUCCCUUCUAAAAUGUAACGAAGGGGCCCAAAGGUAUCCUCAGUCCGUUUGGAAAUCGGACGUCGAGUGUAAGGGCAUAUGGAUGCUUGACUGCGAGGCUGACAAGCUGAGCAGGACGGAAACGUGGGCCUAAUGAUCCGGUGGUAGCACAUGGGAGCGCCAUCGCUCAACGGAUAAAAGGUACUCCGGGGAUAACAGGCUUAUCGCGCCCGAGAGUUCAUAUCGACGGCGCGGUUUGGCACCUCGAUGUCGGCUCAUCACAUCCUGGGGCUGGAGAAGGUCCCAAGGGUCCGGCUGUUCGCCGGUUAAAGUGGUACGUGAGCUGGGUUCAGAACGUCGUGAGACAGUUCGGUCUCUAUCCACUGUGGGUGUUAGGAUUCUUGAAGGGAAGCUGUCCCUAGUACGAGAGGACCGGGACAGAGGAACCUCUGGUGUACCAGUUAUUCCGCCAGGAGUAAGGGCUGGGUAGCUACGUUCCUUAGAGAUAAGCGCUGAAAGCAUAUAAGCGCGAAACUCGUCUUAAAACGAGGAAUCCCUCUUCGGCUUCGGUCGGAGUGAAGGCUGGUGAGAGACUAUCACCUUGAUAGGGUGCAGGUGUAAGCGCAGUAAUGUGUUCAGCCGAGCACUACUAAUAAGCCAAUCGGCUUGAUACC